RNAcentral lists this ribosomal RNA (550 nucleotides) under Toxocara canis (dog roundworm). RNAcentral's name for it is "eukaryotic LSU rRNA". The stretch from base 1 to 145 matches the Rfam family "5.8S ribosomal RNA". The record is from RNAcentral. Lineage: Eukaryota; Metazoa; Nematoda; Chromadorea; Rhabditida; Toxocaridae.
CGGUGGAUCACUCGGCUCGUGGAUCGAUGAAGAACGCUGCUAGCUGCGAUAAAUAGUGCGAAUUGCAGACACAUUGAGCACUAAAAUUUCGAACGCACAUUGCGCCAUCGGGUUCAUUCCCGUUGGCACGUCUGGCUGAGGGUCAGUAUAUUAAGGAGUAUGAUGGGCGCGCCAAUUUAUGGAAUGUGAUUAACGCGCAAGGUUGUGGUGCAUUCGGUGAGCUAUGCUGGUGUGGUAAUGGAUAUUGUGCAAUUGUACAGCGUACCUUGCCAAGGAAAUAUUCGCACAAGAAAUGGCUGUCGUUUGCUCGUAAAGAGGCAAAAUUGGCCAUGAGUGUAUGUUGCGUUGCUUCACGAUACGGCCUCCAGCAAACGUUGUUUAUUGUUUGGUUGUGGCAGCAUCCAGGUUGGAGGUGGCGUUAUCGGUCGCUUGAAUGAGGAAUGCAUGGCGAAUGGUUGAAAUGAGAUUUUUUUUUUCUGACCUCAGCUCAGUCGUGAGCACCCGCUGAAUUUAAGCAUAUAACUAAGCGGAGGAAAAGAAACUAACCAGG